AUUGAACGCUGGCGGCAUGCCUUACACAUGCAAGUCGAGCGGCAGCGCGGGGGCAACCCUGGCGGCGAGCGGCGAACGGGUGAGUAAUGCAUCGGAACGUGUCCUCUUGUGGGGGAUAACCAGUCGAAAGACUGGCUAAUACCGCAUGAGAUCGAGAGAUGAAAGCAGGGGACCGCAAGGCCUUGCGCGAGAGGAGCGGCCGAUGCCGGAUUAGCUAGUUGGUGGGGUAACGGCCCACCAAGGCGACGAUCCGUAGCUGGUAUGAGAGUACGACCAGCCACACUGGGACUGAGACACGGCCCCAGACUCCUACGGGAGGCAGCAGUGGGGAAUUUUGGACAAUGGGGGAAACCCUGAUCCAGCCAUGCCGCGUGUGUGAAGAAGGCCUCGGGUUGUAAAGCACUUUCGGACGGAACGAAAUCGCGCGGGUGAAUAUCCCGCGUGGAUGACGGUACCGUAAGAAGAAGCACCGGCUAACUACGUGCCAGCAGCCGCGGUAAUACGUAGGGUGCGAGCGUUAAUCGGAAUUACUGGGCGUAAAGUGUGCGCAGGCGGCGUCGCAAGUCGAGUGUGAAAAGCCCCGGGCUUAACUUGGGAAUUGCGCUCGAAACUACGAUGCUGGAGUGUGGCAGAGGAAGGUGGAAUUCCACGUGUAGCGGUGAAAUGCGUAGAGAUGUGGAGGAACACCAAUGGCGAAGGCAGCCUUCUGGGCCAACACUGACGCUCAUGCACGAAAAGCGUGGGGGAGC
This 749-nucleotide ribosomal RNA is filed under the name uncultured bacterium. RNAcentral describes it as "bacterial SSU rRNA". It matches the Rfam family "Bacterial small subunit ribosomal RNA", at positions 28 to 769 of the family's 1533-position model. The record is from RNAcentral.